Molecule: ribosomal RNA, 483 nt
Filed under: uncultured bacterium
Lineage: Bacteria
Description: partial 16S ribosomal RNA
Rfam family: Bacterial small subunit ribosomal RNA
Source: RNAcentral
GUCGAACGCUGGCGGCGUGCUUAACACAUGCAAGUCGAACGCUGAAGCGCAGCUUUUGCUGGGUGGCUGCGUGGCGAACGGGUGUGAAACACGUGAGUCACCUUCCUCCUGCUUUGGGAUAACGCCCGGAGACGGGUGCUAAUACUGGAUAUUCACUGGUCUUCGCGGGGGGGCUGGUGACAAGGGGCUUUCUGGUGGGGGAUGGGCGCGCGGCCUAUCGGCUGGUUGGUGGGGUGAUGGGCGACCCAGGCUGUGACGGGUAGCCGGCCUGAGAGGGUGACUGGUCACAUUGGGACUGAGAUACGGCCCAGAGUAGUACGGGGGGCAGCAGUGUGGACUAUUGCCCAAUGGGCGAUAGCCUGAUGCAGCGUCGCUGCGUGAGGGCUGGGGGCCGUCGGGUUGUGAACCUCUUUAGCUAAUGGUGAAGCCGAAACAAUGGUUGUGGUGAGGUUAGUGGGUAAAGAAGCGCCGGCUAACUACGUG